This is a non-coding RNA of Podarcis lilfordi (Lilford's wall lizard), 76 nucleotides long. NCBI's taxonomy places the organism in Eukaryota, Metazoa, Chordata, Lepidosauria, Squamata, Lacertidae. The record is from the annotation of a GenBank genome assembly.
UGAAAAAGCUCAUCUGGUAGAGAGCAUGAGACUCUUAAUCUCAGAGUCAGGGGUUCAAGCCCCACAUUGGGCAAAA